Molecule: regulatory RNA element, 111 nt
Organism: Pseudomonas fluorescens HK44
Lineage: Bacteria; Pseudomonadati; Pseudomonadota; Gammaproteobacteria; Pseudomonadales; Pseudomonadaceae
Rfam family: Pseudomon-groES RNA
Source: Rfam
GUAACGGUCACCGCAAGGUUUCUGGUGAAGAUCACCAGACAGACUUCCGCGGUUCGCUUGACGAGCCGCAACCGGCAACGCCGGAAUUUAACCUGCCGGGAUUACACCGGC